AUUAUCAGUUAUGCAUGCCAAAGCACAUGAGUGGAGUUAUGAGAUAAAAUGGUCCGGAAGAAAUCAAAGGAGCUGGUCUUACAAUCGGAGAAGAGGUGGAGCAGGUCAACUCCUUGUCGAGAGCAGCAGUCUGCACUAAAUAUAUGUCCAAAGCUGCAUGUUCAGACAUGCUCACAGUUCUUGCUUCUGCAUGGAACAAACGGAAAUCUGAAAAUCUGGCUAAAAGUUUGUCAUAAAGAUACGUUAAGACAACCGAAAGGCUGAAAGUAGAAAGAGAGAGCUUUGCAAGUCUGCAGGCUGAGCUUAAUGUCAGCGACGAUAACAUUCAGCAGUGGGUCAGUGAUGUCCAGCAGUGGGCUGCAGUAUCAAGAGCGAAGGACGACGCUGGACUUGAGGGCAAAAUUCGAGGCCUUUAUGUCAGCAUAAAGCUGAGAAAAAGCAAUCUGUACCAUCAGACAGAUAGCAACAAAAGAAGGCACAGAAUAAGAAGAAGAAUUAAUGAAGAUAAGUCGACCUUGGCAGCUGCCAUUAAAGAAUUCAAUGAACAGUCAGUCCACCAGAUUCCUUCUGUGGACGAACUCCUCGCAGCGGAUCAUUUCCAAUUCCUAAAUAGAUAUUUUACCAUUGUUUUACAAAUUACGUAGGAAAAGUAAUAGAUUAUUUUAUGACUAGAGUGGACCUCAAAAAUCUACAUAAAAGGAGUUAUGACCUUUGUCACAAAAACUCUUUCUUCAUUGCCUUUUUCCCUAUCACGCUUUAGAAAUCAUCAUUAAAAUCAGAUUUUUCAUUACCAUGGAAAUGGUUCAUCAAAAUCAUAUUACAAAAUAUUUUCAUUCAUGGAUUAUAAAAAUUUAGGU
Molecule: long non-coding RNA, 857 nt
Organism: Onychostoma macrolepis
Lineage: Eukaryota; Metazoa; Chordata; Actinopteri; Cypriniformes; Cyprinidae
Exons: 6
Source: RefSeq, a predicted model, not a curated record